AUUGAACGCUGGCGGCAGGCUUAACACAUGCAAGUCGAACGAGUGGCGGACGGGUGAGUAAUAAUUGGGAAUCUACCUGAUGGAGGGGGAUAACUAAGGGAAACUGUCGCUAAUUCCUCCUACCAUAGGAUGAGCCCAUGUGGGAUGGGCUUGUGGGUGGGGUAAUGGCGCACCUAGGCGACGAUGCCUAGCUGGUCCGAGAGGAUGACCAGCUACACUGGAACUGCGACACGGUCCAGACUCCUACGGGCGGCAGCGGUGGGGAAUAUUGCACAAUGGGCGAAAGCCUGAUACAGCGAUGCCGCGUGUGUGAAGAAGGCCUUCGGGUUGUAAAGCACUUUAAGCGAGGAGGCGUUACUCGCAGAAGAAGCACCGGCUAACUCCGUGCCAGCAGCCGCGGUAAUAC
This 406-nucleotide ribosomal RNA is filed under the name uncultured bacterium. RNAcentral's name for it is "partial 16S ribosomal RNA". It matches the Rfam family "Bacterial small subunit ribosomal RNA", at positions 30 to 526 of the family's 1533-position model. The record is from RNAcentral.